GUGAGGAAUAUUGGUCAAUGGACGCAAGUCUGAACCAGCCAUGCCGCGUGCAGGAUGACGGCUCUAUGAGUUGUAAACUGCUUUUGUACGAGGGUAAACGCAGAUACGUGUAUCUGUCUGAAAGUAUCGUACGAAUAAGGAUCGGCUAACUCCGUGCCAGCAGCCGCGGUAAUACGGAGGAUUCAAGCGUUAUCCGGAUUUAUUGGGUUUAAAGGGUGCGUAGGCGGUUUGAUAAGUUAGAGGUGAAAUUUCGGGGCUCAACCCUGAACGUGCCUCUAAUACUGUUGAGCUAGAGAGUAGUUGCGGUAGGCGGAAUGUAUGGUGUAGCGGUGAAAUGCUUAGAGAUCAUACAGAACACCGAUUGCGAAGGCAGCUUACCAAACUAUAUCUGACGUUGAGGCACGAAAGCGUGGGGAGCAAACAGGAUUAGAAACCGGGUAGUCC
RNAcentral lists this ribosomal RNA (444 nucleotides) under uncultured bacterium. RNAcentral describes it as "partial 16S ribosomal RNA". It matches the Rfam family "Bacterial small subunit ribosomal RNA", at positions 354 to 796 of the family's 1533-position model. The record is from RNAcentral.